AGCUCCAAUAGCGUAUAUUAAAGUUGCUGCAGUUAAAAAGCUCGUAGUUGGAUCUCGGGGUACCUGGUCUAGCCGGUAUAGCUCACGCUAAAACUGGUCUGACCCCCCACCUGCGGGAUUCGUGUCCCGGUGCACUUCAUUGGGGGGCCGUGAGGGGGCCUGUAGUUACUGUGAAAAAAUUAGAGUGUUCAAAGGCAGGCUCAUAUGUUCGGAUAGUCGUGCAUGGAAUAACUGAAUACGUGACUGGCGCUUUUCAGUUGGUCUCGGCGACUGGUCAAAUGAUUAAGAGGGACUGCCGGGGGCAUUGGUAUGGCGGGGUUAGAGGUGAAAUUCUUGGAUCCUCGCCAGACCAACAAAAGCGAAAGCAUUUGCCAAGAAUGUCUUCA
This 386-nucleotide ribosomal RNA is filed under the name marine Metazoa environmental sample. RNAcentral's name for it is "partial small subunit ribosomal RNA". It matches the Rfam family "Eukaryotic small subunit ribosomal RNA", at positions 587 to 972 of the family's 1831-position model. The record is from RNAcentral. Lineage: Eukaryota; Metazoa.